GGGGACGUGCGGCAGGCCUAACACAUGCAAGUCGAGCGGUAGAGAGAAGCUUGCUUCUCUUGAGAGCGGCGGACGGGUGAGUAAAGCCUAGGAAUCUGCCUGGUAGUGGGGGAUAACGUUCGGAAACGGACGCUAAUACCGCAUACGUCCUACGGGAGAAAGCAGGGGACCUUCGGGCCUUGCGCUAUCAGAUGAGCCUAGGUCGGAUUAGCUAGUUGGUGAGGUAAUGGCUCACCAAGGCGACGAUCCGUAACUGGUCUGAGAGGAUGAUCAGUCACACUGGAACUGAGACACGGUCCAGACUCCUACGGGAGGCAGCAGUGGGGAAUAUUGGACAAUGGGCGAAAGCCUGAUCCAGCCAUGCCGCGUGUGUGAAGAAGGUCUUCGGAUUGUAAAGCACUUUAAGUUGGGAGGAAGGGCAGUUACCUAAUACGUGAUUGUUUUGACGUUACCGACAGAAUAAGCACCGGCUAACUCUGUGCCAGCAGCCGCGGUAAUACAGAGGGUGCAAGCGUUAAUCGGAAUUACUGGGCGUAAAGCGCGCGUAGGUGGUUUGUUAAGUUGGAUGUGAAAUCCCCGGGCUCAACCUGGGAACUGCAUUCAAAACUGACUGACUAGAGUGUGGUAAAGGGUGGUGGAAUU
Molecule: ribosomal RNA, 642 nt
Filed under: Pseudomonas sp. LL63
Lineage: Bacteria; Pseudomonadati; Pseudomonadota; Gammaproteobacteria; Pseudomonadales; Pseudomonadaceae
Description: bacterial SSU rRNA
Rfam family: Bacterial small subunit ribosomal RNA
Source: RNAcentral